GGAAUGUCUGCAUUGGCUCCUCCUGGCUUCACAGGCUGGUGGCACGGCAUGCCAGGAUGCUGGCUGGAAGGGUGCCCUUCAGCCUGGAGACACCUGCAGACCACCCUGGAUAUGACGGGAAGACAAGGCAGGUGCCCUGGACACAGCCCAGAGCCAGCACUGUGCAGAGGCCGUGCGUCCUGACAGUGCACGACUGACCAGAGGAGACAGCUGCCACCCCAUCCGCUCCGAGGCCCUCAGAUGUGGUGCCCACGCCCUGCAGACAGAGGCUGCUGGGUGCCCUCCUCCGAACGGCCUUAAUUUCAGUGCUCCUGCACAUUUUGCCCACCUUGUUUUGCCACUUCCAGUGAGUCUCAUGCAUAUUUACGUGACAAUUAUGCAAAUCCCAAGAUAAAAAUGCAUUAAGCGCCCAUUAUUUAGACUGGUCGAGUCUAUUACGUGGCAUAAUGAAAUUACUGCAUGAUGUCCAAUUUACCUCAACACUCGCUUCAACUGUCAGUAAGUUAUUAACCAAACACACCGAAAUCGUGCUCUAGGAUGCUUCCUUAGGAAGCCAGAAACUUCAAGCCAAACCUUCAUCAGCAAGGAAAAUGUUCCAGAACAGUCUUAACAAGGCACAGUGUGAGCAAAGUUUGGGCAAAGCAACUCAUGGCCACUGAUAUAAGUCUUUCCACAGGUUAAAAAAAAAUCCACUUAGUAAUUUCAAUAAGACAGGACACAG
RNAcentral lists this long non-coding RNA (721 nucleotides) under Fukomys damarensis (Damara mole-rat). RNAcentral's name for it is "lncRNA (ENSFDAG00000029089.1)". The record is from RNAcentral. Lineage: Eukaryota; Metazoa; Chordata; Mammalia; Rodentia; Bathyergidae.